AUGAGAAUACGCAUCCUAUUCUGCCUCCAUCUCACCAUACUCCUCUCCCUCUCUGUGAGCUCAACCUGCCAAACUGAUCCCCAAACAGAGGCACUUCUCCAAUUCAAGGCCAGCUUAGCUGACCCUCUGAACUAUCUUCAGACAUGGACAAACGCCACGUCCCCGUGCCAGUUCCAUGGCAUCCAGUGCAGCGCAGGCUCGGUGACUGAGAUCUCGCUGUCGAGCAUGAACCUCUCCGGCACGAUCUCGCCGUCCAUCGCCGCGCUCAGCGGCCUGGAGCGGCUCGAUCUGGACACCAAUUCAUUGUCAGGAGCUGUACCUUCUGAGCUAAUCAGCUGCACCCAGCUCCGGUUCCUGAACCUUUCCUGGAAUACCCUGACCGGAGAGCUGCCGGAUUUUUCGGCGCUGACGGUGCUAGAGAGCCUGGACGUCGCGAACAAUGGCUUCUCCGGCCGGUUUGCGGCGUGGGUGGGCGACAUGACCGGCCUGGUGUACCUCAGCAUCGGCUGCAACAACUACGAUCAAGGGGAGAUGCCUCCGAGCAUUGGGAACCUCAAGAACCUGACGUAUCUGUACCUGUCGAACUGCAGCUUGACAGGGGGGAUACCCGACUCCGUCUUCGAGCUGACCCUGCUGGAGACGCUGGAUUUGUCCCUGAACAAUCUCGCCGGCGAGAUCCCGAAGGCCAUCGGCAACCUCAAGAAAGUGUGGAAGAUCGAGCUGUACAAGAACAUCCUCACCGGCGAGCUCCCGCCGGAGCUUGGCAGGCUCGCGGAGCUGCGGGAGAUCGACGUCUCCCGUAACCAGCUCAGCGGCGGAAUCCCGGCAGCAUUCGCCAAGCUCAAGAACUUGGAGGUGAUCCAGCUGUACCGGAACAACCUGUCCGGGGCGAUCCCGGCCGAGUGGGCCGAGCUCCGGUCCCUGAAGAGCUUCUCCGUCUACGAGAACCGUUUCGCCGGCGAGUUCCCGGCGAACUUCGGCCGGUUCUCGUCGCUCGACAGCGUGGACAUCUCCGAGAACGGAUUCGUCGGGCCGUUCCCGAGGCACCUCUGCAACGGCAAGAGCCUCCAGUUCCUUCUCGCCCUGCAGAACGGCUUCUCCGGCGAGGUCCCGGAGGAGUACUCGGCGUGCCAAACCCUGCAAAGGUUCCGGAUCAACAAGAACCAGCUCACCGGCAGCAUCCCGGAGAGGUUGUGGGGGCUCCCCGCCGUCACGAUCAUCGACGUAUCGGACAACGGGUUCACCGGGACUAUAUCGCCGCUGAUCGGCGAGGCGCAGAAUCUGAACCAGCUCUGGGUGCAGAACAACAGGCUCAGUGGCACGAUCCCGGCGGAAACCGGCCGGCUCGGGCAGCUCCAGAAGCUCUACCUGUCCAACAAUUCUUUCUCGGGGACAAUACCGUCGCAGAUUGGGAACUUGGCACAGCUGACGGCGCUGCACCUGGAAGACAACGCAUUGGGUGGCGCAUUGCCCGCUGAUAUCGGCAGCUGCUCCAGGCUCGUCGAGAUCGACGUCUCCCGGAACGAGCUCACGGGCCCGAUCCCCGCCUCGCUGUCGCUGCUGUCGUCUCUGAACUCACUCAACUUGUCACGCAAUGCCAUCACCGGGAUGAUCCCGGCCCAGCUUCAGGCGCUGAAGCUGAGCUCCGUCGACUUCUCAGCGAACCGGCUUACCGGCAGCGUGCCGCCCGGGCUGCUCGUGAUCGCCGGCGACGAGGUGUUCGCCGGGAAUCCCGGUCUCUGCGUCCAUGGCUGGUCUGAGCUCGGCGCGUGUAAUACGGACGACCACCACAGGGACGGCCUCGCGAGGAGAUCGCUUGUCGUCCUGCCGGUCAUUGUAUCCGUGAUGGUGCUGCUUGUGGUUGGCAUACUGUUCGUGAGCUACAGAAGCUUCAAGCUCGAGGAGCAGAGGAGGAGGGACCUGGAGCGCGGCGACGGGUGCGACCAGUGGAAGCUGGAGUCGUUCCACCCGCCGGAGCUGGACGCCGACGAGAUAUGCGGCGUCGGGGAGGAGAACCUCGUCGGGUCGGGCGGUACGGGGCGCGUGUACCGGCUUCAGCUCAAGGACGGCGGCGGCACUGUGGCCGUGAAGCGGCUGUGGAAGGGCGACGCCGCGCGGGUCAUGGCCGCGGAGAUGUCCAUCCUCGGUACGAUCCGGCACCGGAAUGUCCUCAAGCUCCACGCCUGCCUGUCGCGCGGUGAGCUCAACUUCAUCGUCUACGAGUACAUGCCGCGGGGCAACCUGUACCAGGCGCUCCGCCGGGAGGCCAAGGGCGGCGGCGGCGAGCCCGAGCUGGACUGGCCACGGCGGUGCGGGGUCGCGCUCGGCGCCGCCAAGGGGCUCAUGUACCUCCACCACGACUGCACACCGGCGGUCAUCCACCGCGACAUCAAGUCCGCCAACAUACUUCUCGAUGAGGACUACGAGGCCAAGAUCGCCGACUUCGGCAUCGCCAGAGUCGCCGCCGGCAACUCCGAGGAGUUCAGCUGCUUCGCCGGAACCCACGGCUACCUCGCUCCCGAGCUCGCCUACUCUCUCAAGGUGACGGAGAAGACGGACGUGUACAGCUUCGGCGUCGUGCUCAUGGAGCUGGUCACCGGCCGGAGCCCGAUCGACGCGCGCUUCGGCGAGGGCAAGGACGUCGUGUUCUGGCUGUCGAGCAAGCUCGGAACGCAGAGACUGGACGACGUUGUGGACCCGCGCCUCGCAGCGUCGUCCGCCAAGGGCAAGGAGGAGAUGCUCAGGGUACUCAAGAUCGCCAUGCUCUGCACAACCAAGCUGCCGGCCGGGCGGCCGGCAAUGAGGGACGUGGUGAACAUGCUCACGGACGCCUGCGCGGGGUCCUGCAGCCCGCGCGGCAACCCGCCGGUGUGGAGCUGCAGCAAAAGCGCGCGCUGA
This 2898-nucleotide ribosomal RNA is filed under the name Triticum aestivum (bread wheat). Its description in RNAcentral is "partial small subunit ribosomal RNA". Lineage: Eukaryota; Viridiplantae; Streptophyta; Magnoliopsida; Poales; Poaceae. The record is from RNAcentral.